Molecule: long non-coding RNA, 552 nt
Organism: Rhinolophus ferrumequinum (greater horseshoe bat)
Lineage: Eukaryota; Metazoa; Chordata; Mammalia; Chiroptera; Rhinolophidae
Exons: 3
Source: RefSeq, a predicted model, not a curated record
CGGAGUCCCUCCGGCGGCGGCGGCUGCGCCGGUGCGGCCGCGGCUCUGACAGCGCUUUCUGCCCCGCCUCCACCCCCCACUCCCCGCCCCCGAGCGAGCGCGAGCUGCCGGCGGGACCCGCCGCUAAUGGGCCAGCAUUUUUCCUGAGCUGCAGUAAGAAGGCUGAUCCUGCCCCUCUCGAAUCUCUUCAUACACAGGAAGGUCUCAGCUGCAUGGCUUUAGAUCACGCAGGAAGAUACAUCCUUGGGAGAGAUGGCACCUUCCCUUCAUGCCUUAUUUGGGGUGCAUGGACAUAUUUCUAGACCCCUUCUUAUUUAACACAACCCUUUGCUGGCUUAGAGUGUCAGAACAAGUUUAAGAUGGUGUAGAUAUGUCACCACUGCACUGUACACUUGAUGCUGAAGCUGAAUAAGAAUGAACGUCAACUGUAUUUUAAUAUAUAUAUGGUCACAGGAUGUAAAGUACAGCGUAGGGAAUACAGUCAAUGGAAUUGUAACAGCUCUAUAUGAGGUCAGAUGGGAAGUAGAUUGGGGGAGGGUGUUUAUCACUUUG